RNAcentral lists this ribosomal RNA (403 nucleotides) under uncultured bacterium. RNAcentral describes it as "bacterial SSU rRNA". It matches the Rfam family "Bacterial small subunit ribosomal RNA", at positions 355 to 775 of the family's 1533-position model. The record is from RNAcentral.
UGGGGAAUAUUGGACAAUGGGCGCAAGCCUGAUCCAGCCAUGCCGCGUGAAUGAUGAAGGCCUUCGGGUUGUAAAGUUCUUUUAGUAGGGAAAAUAAUGAUGGUACCUACAGAAAAAGCCCCGGCUAACUUCGUGCCAGCAGCCGCGGUAAUACGAAGGGGGCUAGCGUUGUUCGGAAUUACUGGGCGUAAAGCGUUUGUAGGCGGUUAUUUAAGCCAGUGGUGAAAGCCCGGGGCUCAACUCCGGAAUUGCCAUUGGUACUGGAUAGCUAGAGAGUGUUAGAGGUUAGUGGAAUUCCUAGUGUAGGAGUGAAAUCCGUAGAGAUUAGGAGGAAUAUCGAUGGCGAAGGCAGCUAACUGGGACAUUGCUGACGCUGAGAAACGAAAGCGUGGGUAGCAAACAG